CUGGAGACUAAGAAAAUCGAGUCCUUGAAGUCAAGCUGACUCUGCGGUUAGCCUCCGAAAUGAAAAGGUUGAUAGAACAGGUCUUGUUUGCAAAAUAAGUUCAAGACCUGCUUCUCUACCAACAGCA
Molecule: non-coding RNA, 127 nt
Organism: Callithrix jacchus (white-tufted-ear marmoset)
Lineage: Eukaryota; Metazoa; Chordata; Mammalia; Primates; Cebidae
Source: Ensembl